Limulus polyphemus (Atlantic horseshoe crab) is the source of this 246-nucleotide long non-coding RNA. RefSeq lists it as uncharacterized. The record is from RefSeq and is a predicted model, not a curated record. The transcript is spliced from 3 exons. Lineage: Eukaryota; Metazoa; Arthropoda; Merostomata; Xiphosura; Limulidae.
GCACAAUCGGAAGCGGAAACACCGUCAGUUAUAUAAUAAAAACAUGGCUGCCAUGCGAGGGUUAAUAAAAUCUUUAGGUCCUGAUAUUUCUGGUUACAAGCCGAUUGGUUUACUUGGUUCAUUUGUCAGAUGUAGCUCAACCUCUGCUGGACAAGUUCCACCACAAAAGACAAAGUUUGGGCCUCUGAAGGACGAAGAUCGGAUAUUCACUAAUCUCUAGGACGUCAUGAUUGGAGGUUGAAAGGA